This 506-nucleotide long non-coding RNA is filed under the name Homo sapiens (human). RNAcentral describes it as "non-protein coding lnc-SLC6A12-6:6". Lineage: Eukaryota; Metazoa; Chordata; Mammalia; Primates; Hominidae. The record is from RNAcentral.
CCAGAGAACUACUUCUAUGUGCCAGACCUGGGCCAGGUGCCUGAGAUUGAUGUUCCAUCCUACCUGCCUGACCUGCCCAGCAUUGCCAACGACCUCAUGUACAUUGCCGACCUGGGCCCCGGCAUUGCCCCCUCUGCCCCUGGCACCAUUCCAGAACUGCCCACCUUCCACACUGAGGUAGCCGAGCCUCUCAAGGCCUACAAGAUGGGGUACUAACACCACCCCCACCGCCCCCACCACCACCCCCAGCUCCUGAGGUGCUGGCCAGUGCACCCCCACUCCCACCCUCAACCGCGGCCCCUGUAGGCCAAGGCGCCAGGCAGGACGACAGCAGCAGCAGCACGUCUCCUUCAGGUCAGGGAGCUCCCAGGGAAGUGGUCGACCCCUCCGGUGGCUGGGCCACUCUGCUAGAGUCCAUCCGCCAAGCUGGGGGCAUCGGCAAGGCCAAGCUGCGCAGCAUGAAGGAGCGAAAGCUGGAGAAGAAGAAGCAGAAGGAGCAGGAGCAA